GUGUCAGCCGCCGCGGUAAGACGAACCGUGCGAACGUUAUUCGGAAUCACUGGGCUUAAAGCGCGUGUAGGCGGGACGGCACGUCGGUCGCUGAAAUCCCCCGGCUUAACCGGGGAACGGGCGUCGAUACGACCGUCCUGGAGGGGCGUAGGGGGACCUGGAACUUCCGGUGGAGCGGUGAAAUGCGUUGAGAUCGGAAGGAACGCCCGUGGCGAAAGCGAGGUCCUGGACGCCUACUGACGCUGAGACGCGAAAGCCAGGGGAGCGAACGGGAUUAGAUACCCCUGUAGUCC
This 293-nucleotide ribosomal RNA is filed under the name uncultured bacterium. RNAcentral's name for it is "partial 16S ribosomal RNA". It matches the Rfam family "Bacterial small subunit ribosomal RNA", at positions 505 to 796 of the family's 1533-position model. The record is from RNAcentral.